This 74-nucleotide transfer RNA is filed under the name Ruminococcus bromii. RNAcentral's name for it is "tRNA-Gly". It matches the Rfam family "tRNA". From Rfam's summary of the family: Transfer RNA (tRNA) molecules are approximately 80 nucleotides in length. Their secondary structure includes four short double-helical elements and three loops (D, anti-codon, and T loops). Lineage: Bacteria; Bacillati; Bacillota; Clostridia; Eubacteriales; Oscillospiraceae. RNAcentral also lists the same sequence under 9 other names. The record is from RNAcentral.
GCGGGCGUAGUUUAAUGGUAGAACAUCAGCUUCCCAAGCUGAAUACGAGGGUUCGAUUCCCUUCGCCCGCUCCA